GUGGGGAAUAUUGGACAAUGGGGGAAACCCUGAUCCAGCGAUGCCGCGUGAAUGAAGAAGGCCUUAGGGUUGUAAAGUUCUUUCACCUGUGACGAUGAUGACGGUAACAGGAGAAGAAGCCCCGGCUAACUCCGUGCCAGCAGCCGCGGUAAGACGGAGGGGGCUAGCGUUGUUCGGAAUGACUGGGCGUAAAGGGCGCGUAGGCGGCUUAUCAAGUCAGGUGUGAAAGCCUUGGGCUUAACCCAAGAACUGCGCUUGAUACUGAUAAGCUUGAGGAUGAUAGAGGAAAGCGGAAUUCCUAGUGUAGAGGUGAAAUUCGUAGAUAUUCGGAAGAACACCAGUGGCGAAGGCGACUCACUGGCCCAAUACUGACGCUGAGGCGCGAAAGCGUGGGGAGCAAACAGGAUUAGAAACCCUGGUAGUCC
RNAcentral lists this ribosomal RNA (425 nucleotides) under uncultured bacterium. Its description in RNAcentral is "partial 16S ribosomal RNA". It matches the Rfam family "Bacterial small subunit ribosomal RNA", at positions 354 to 796 of the family's 1533-position model. The record is from RNAcentral.